RNAcentral lists this ribosomal RNA (686 nucleotides) under Escherichia coli. Its description in RNAcentral is "partial 23S ribosomal RNA". It matches the Rfam family "Bacterial large subunit ribosomal RNA", at positions 2180 to 2860 of the family's 2925-position model. Lineage: Bacteria; Pseudomonadati; Pseudomonadota; Gammaproteobacteria; Enterobacterales; Enterobacteriaceae. The record is from RNAcentral.
AUGGAGCCGACCUUGAAAUACCACCCUUUAAUGUUUGAUGUUCUAACGUUGACCCGUAAUCCGGGUUGCGGACAGUGUCUGGUGGGUAGUUUGACUGGGGCGGUCUCCUCCUAAAGAGUAACGGAGGAGCACGAAGGUUGGCUAAUCCUGGUCGGACAUCAGGAGGUUAGUGCAAUGGCAUAAGCCAGCUUGACUGCGAGCGUGACGGCGCGAGCAGGUGCGAAAGCAGGUCAUAGUGAUCCGGUGGUUCUGAAUGGAAGGGCCAUCGCUCAACGGAUAAAAGGUACUCCGGGGAUAACAGGCUGAUACCGCCCAAGAGUUCAUAUCGACGGCGGUGUUUGGCACCUCGAUGUCGGCUCAUCACAUCCUGGGGCUGAAGUAGGUCCCAAGGGUAUGGCUGUUCGCCAUUUAAAGUGGUACGCGAGCUGGGUUUAGAACGUCGUGAGACAGUUCGGUCCCUAUCUGCCGUGGGCGCUGGAGAACUGAGGGGGGCUGCUCCUAGUACGAGAGGACCGGAGUGGACGCAUCACUGGUGUUCGGGUUGUCAUGCCAAUGGCACUGCCCGGUAGCUAAAUGCGGAAGAGAUAAGUGCUGAAAGCAUCUAAGCACGAAACUUGCCCCGAGAUGAGUUCUCCCUGACUCCUUGAGAGUCCUGAAGGAACGUUGAAGACGACGACGUUGAUAGG